Cydia fagiglandana is the source of this 5365-nucleotide RNA transcript. It is a transcript of the gene named cholinephosphotransferase 1, with no coding region annotated. Lineage: Eukaryota; Metazoa; Arthropoda; Insecta; Lepidoptera; Tortricidae. The record is from RefSeq and is a predicted model, not a curated record. The transcript is spliced from 8 exons.
CUAUGCCACUCACUCACCUCUCUCAUGGUGUGAUGUGAUAAUGAACGUCGUGCGUUUUCGCUUUUAUUAAAAAAUCGUGAUCGUUGGAGACAAAGUUUAAGUGUAACUAGUUCAGUGCAGUUUUAGGUUUUAAUGUCGUGACAGUGAAAAUGCAGUUCUAUAAGGAGAGGAUUUUAAAUGCCGCACAAUUAAAGAAACUCAGUGAACACAAAUAUUCGUGUACGAGUAGCAGUAUAUUGGAUGCAUGGCUCCAGCCCUGGUGGUGCUGGCUGGUGUCGAAGACUCCGCUAUGGCUAGCGCCGAAUCUCAUUACAAUAUUAGGAUUAAUAGUUAAUAUCGUCACUACACUCAUAUUAAUCUGGUAUAGCCCAGACGCGCGCACAGACCCGCCCCGGUGGGCGUGCCUGCUGUGCGCGCUCGGCGUGUUCGUGUACCAGAGCCUGGACGCCAUCGACGGCAAGCAGGCGCGGCGCACGGGCAGCCAGUCGCCGCUGGGCGAGCUGUUCGACCACGGCUGCGACUCCAUCUCCACGGUGUUCAUCGCGCUAGGCGCCUGCACCGCCGUCAACUUGGGGGAGUACCCCACCUGGAUGUUCUUUCAGUGCUUCUGCGCAAUGACGUUGUUCUACUGCGCGCACUGGCAGGCGUACGUGACGGGCACUCUGCGUAUGGGCCGCGUCGACGUCACGGAGGCGCAGUACUCCAUCAUCGCCAUCCACCUAGUGUCCGCCACGCUCGGCGCCCGCUUCUGGUCGACGCAGAUCCCGUAUACAUCGGUGCCGUGUGCGCUGGUAGUGACCAGCGCGUGUUUCUUGGCGCAGCUCAACUUUGUGCUGGGCUUCGCUGCCACCUUCCGCGUGAGGGGCGCGGGGAAAAACGGAUCCACCGUCGCUGGCACGAGCAUCCUGUCGCCCGUGAUCCCGUUCUCGCUGGUGGUGGUGCCGGCCUUCAUCAUCUUCCAGAAGUCCGAGUCGCACGUCUACGAGAACCACCCCGCGCUCUACAUACUCGCCUUUGGGAUGGUCGCCGCCAAGGUCACUAAUAGAUUGGUGGUGGCGCAUAUGACGAAGAGCGAGAUGGACUUAUACGACUGGUCGUUGCUGGGCCCGGCCAUGCUGUUCCUUAACCAGUACUUCAACAACGCCAUACCCGAGUAUUACGUGCUAUGGCUUUGCACGAUAUGGGUGUGCGUGGACCUGGUCCGCUACUGCGGGCAGGUGUGCAUGGAGAUCUGCGCGCACCUGAAGAUCGCGCUGUUCCGCAUCCCCUACCCCCCCGCCGCGCCCGCCCCCGCCGCGCCCGCCAACGGUACGGCCCGCCGCGUGUCCGCGCGUAAGAGAACACAACAACACUCGUAGGACACACUCUAGGCUCGUGCUCAAUUGAUCUUGACGCCGCUCGCUGCGGUGUGCGGGGGUAAAUGAGAAGCCUCGGAUGACAGAUUUUAAUAACGUUAUUACUUAUUACGGUCAGAUGGCAGUCACUUUCGUAACAACUAGAGCCUACGUCAAUGGGAUUAGUUGUCAAGCUGGCUGAUAUGACCCGUGGCAAAAUGCCGGGAUAACGCGAGGAAGAAGUAUUACUUAUUACGGCUUCAUGUAAACCAUUUUCAUAUCCGUCUCGUUUAGGGUUGCCAGAUGGUCGGGAUUUAGCGGGAUUCUCCCGAUUUUUAGCAUGUGUUCCCGAUUCCCGACAAAGUGUAAACUGUCCCGAAAAACGGGUUCACGUUAUAAAACAACAAUUUCAAGUUCCGAACUGUCGUCGAGCGAGCGAGUUGACGUAGUGCCAAUAAUGUAAAAUAUCGUUGUGUUUAAUACAAUUACUUUAAUUUGAAUGUAUUUUUUUUCCCGACUUAAGUCCCAAAAUCCCGAAAAAUUUAUAUUGUUUCCCGAUAAUAGCGCCUUUCGAUCUGGCAACCCUAGUCUCGUUCUAAAACCGUUUUAAUUAAAACUAUUUUAACUCUUUGUAGGACACAAAAGACAAUCUAUGUUGUAACGCAAAAAUAACCACCCUAAGCGCCACUUGCACCAUCCCAGUAACCCAGUGUCAAACUGUACUGGUAACCAUGGUAACUCCAGGUUUAACCGGUUAACCCAGGGUUAAUGAAUGAUGCAAGUGGCUCUAAGUAUCUUUUUGUAUUUUAAAAAUGGCAAUGGAACUUUCUGGGGUUAAUUUUUUUCAUUAGAACCUGUUAGAACCAAUAAAAUUGGUUAAAAACAAAACAUGUCUGGACACACUACCGCGUGUCUAGAUAAUAUCCAGCCGAGGCUUGUUGCAAAGCCUACAUUUACUCACUCACCCGCCCUCCACUCUGCCUAUCGAAUUUAAUCGGUUUAAUUAAAAUAGGUUAAAGCUCGGAGUAAUUAACAAUGGAGCCGCCAUUAACAGGCGUUCCCCUCUGUCGAAAAUAGGCGGCCAAUGGUCAACCUCAUGUCAACCAUAUGUAUGGACUGACGUUUAUCUGACAUGACGUACCUAUACAUUUGAUGCGCAAAAAACGGCAGACUAUUUUGUACCGAAAAUUUUAGACAUGGCGUCUCCGUUGGUUAUAUCCUCCAAGGGUUAAAGUUCUUAAAUCAUGCCUUGAUCAACACCGCACGCCGCAGCGACGGGCGUUCCUGUCUCGCCCGUCGAUUAUUGUUAGAAAUAAAGCUGUAAUCGGCCUGGGGUAGUCACUGUACCAUCGCACACACUGUUAACUGUACAUAGGUGGACUUUAUGCUUUUUGUAAUAAGGACCACCAAUGUACAGUUGGGAGUGUUGCUGUUUGUACAAUAGAAGUUGCGGUGCGGUACUUUUUAUAAUGAAUUAAUGACGCAAUGUGUAAUCGGCCGAACGUAAAGAUUUGCCGCUCCGAUCUAUAUAAAAUUGAAGACUAAAGUCGGACCGAGCCAAGCAUAGACUUGUAGCAAUAGUGUGUGGACGAAGUUAGUGCAGAGUUAGCUUAGACGGACUCCAUUCGAUCGUUAUAAUGUCAUCAAAACGACUAUUAAACUUGAACUUAUUUCAAUAACACGGGCAAAAGUGUAUAAUAAUCUAUAAAUAUCAUGAAAAAAUAUUAUAAAAACUCAGUCACCAGUUGCACGUUUACGCCAAGCCAAAAUCAUUAUGGACAAAUCAUUCGUCGAUUUAAACUAGUAAUCUUUAGUCCCAAAAGAAAAUAUGCAGCUAGAAAAACCGCCAAGUUAUAUCGCGUUAUCAGAGACAAAAAUAUAAUAUGCAAAAAAUUAAGUGCAGCACAGUCUACAUUAGCUAUUAGCAGUCGUUUCGUCUGUACAUUAACAACAUGAUUCUUUUGUCUAACCUUUGGUCUCUGUAUAAGGCUAAGGUGUUGUCACCCGACAAUUAUUGGUGUUUAAUUAUAAUGCUUAAUUUAUUACAUAUAGAAUAUCAAAAAAGCUGCUCGUUCCCGAUCCUAACUUGACAAGGGACGGAGAACGUUUCAAACUAUGGACAACUCUAUAGCAAUAACUAGCUAUAAUAUAUAAACUUACGUGUAUCUUCGUAUCUUUAGACCCGAUGUAUGUUACUGACGUACUUAGGAAAAGAAAAGAGAACCACCUUAAAUCUAUCGUUCAUUUGCAGGUAAUGCCAAAUCUAUAGAUUUCAUCAUAAUUGAUUUCGAAUAACGGAAACACUUUUAGUAUUUUGUUCCUUUUGAAGACAAGUUAUUAAAUAACAUUUUAAAAUGAGACUUAGCGAAACGAUACUUUAUUACAUUAUCAUUGCAUGAUUCCUUAAUGCUGAAAAAUAAUAGACGCUAGCAACUCAGUGAACUACCUCGCACAAAUGCUCUCUGAGUGCUAUAUCCACGGAUAUUAACAUAAUAGAUCGGAAGAACCCUGUAUAUUAUAUCAUAAGUAUAUUAGAUAGCCGAUAAAUUAAAGUCCAAAUAUUUUUGCUACGAGCCGAACCAGCGUAGGUUGAUGUUUACAUUGUUGUUUUUGUAUAAUUAGCUGUAAAUACCUACAAUAUUAAACGUAGAGAGCGUUAUAAGUAACUUCUUUUUCAAACGAUAAUUAACCUUAGUCAGUUUUCACUGUCAAGGAAAAUGUAUCUUGAAGUAAAAUAAUUUAAAUCGUUUUUCCCGCGAAGAGAUGAAAAAAACAUACUCGUGAGAAAUAUGCUGACUCUAUUGUAAGCUUUUGACACUGAACGAAUCUACGGUUGUUUUAGAUAUUCAGCGGGUAGAGGGUAGUAAUUGUUGCGAAAUAUUCAUAGGGAGCUACGAGCAGUAAGUACGUGUGAUCUAGCUGAAACUUAACGUGUUGGUAGUCAUAACUGUAUAGGUAAACUGAAUCAAACAUAGUAAAAAAAUCAGAUCUGUCUGUAUUCUAGCUAAUUCUAUGUAGUAACUUGGCUAGUUAGACGCUAAAUCUAGUAACAUCCUAUUAAAAGCUAUCUAAAUAGGUUGAGCCCUGUUGUAGUGUUUAUCUAGGUAAUUAAAUUUCAUGAGAGUGACCUAGGAGAAUGCCUGUAAAUUAUCUAAUUCUAGCCUAUAAGUUGCUAAACUAACUUUAAUGUUCGCGCUUUCAUUGUUUUCUAAUCCCAGUAACGUUCACUGCGGUACGGGGUUUAUUCGACCCCGUAUAAAUAUGGUUAAUUCUGCAGUUGAUAGCCGCAUCGAACGUGUUAAUGAAUGAAAAUGAGGACGCGGACAUCUUUCUGCUAUUCUAUCUUCUAAUUAAAUAUUGAAGACACUGGUGUUGGCUGCAUCCCUCGUAAUAAACACGCAUAGAAGCGAAGCUACUACUAUUUACCGGCCCUGGCAUUCAACGUUAGGGCUGCCACACAAUUUCGUUAUUUUUUUCGGAUAUUUUGCUCAACUUCAGUGUGUAAUAUUAAACAGCUUUUGCUUUUAUAAGUGUUUAUUAUGAAUUCUAUAUAUUAUGUAUAGCGCUAUAUUAUCGAGGCCAGCAUCAAUGUAUGCUUGCAGCUUGCGAUGAGGUCUUCAGCCCAUUCUCUGUCUAGUCUUACAAUAUUUAUUUCGUCGGUGGCUUACCAAGCGUUAUCCAAGUCUGUUUUACUUGAUAAUGUAUCAUAGUUGUGUUACCAGUUGUUGCAAUAGCACGGCUAUUGCUUUUCGUUGUGAGAAUAUUUAGUAGAAUCAAAUUGUUAGGGUUCUAUUGGUUAUUGUUUUCAAAGGUAUUGUUACUUUACAACUGACAUGUCUUCUGUACGGCCAAGACAUUUAGGUUUGCUAAGUUAUGUACAGACAAAAUCGGAUCCCUUGGCAGGGUCGCUCAAGUUUCCGGUAGGGUAGGAGAACUGUAUAUACAUAUGUUAUAUAUUGUGUAAUGUCACGAGCCGGCUGUAUCGUAUGACGUGUUUUUUAUGUGAAAUAUAAGCAAAUGUACAUUUCGAA